ACUCCUACGGGAGGCAGCAGUAGGGAAUAUUGCCUAAUGGACGGAAGUCUGAGGCAGCAACGCCGCGUGAAGGACGAAGGCCUUCGGGUCGUAAACUUCUUUUGAGGAGGAAGAGGACGGACGGUACUCCUCGAAUAAGCUUCGGCUAACUACGUGCCAGCAGCCGCGGUAAU
Molecule: ribosomal RNA, 173 nt
Filed under: uncultured Chloroflexota bacterium
Lineage: Bacteria; Bacillati; Chloroflexota
Description: uncultured Chloroflexi bacterium partial 16S ribosomal RNA
Rfam family: Bacterial small subunit ribosomal RNA
Source: RNAcentral